Molecule: ribosomal RNA, 133 nt
Filed under: uncultured bacterium
Lineage: Bacteria
Description: partial 16S ribosomal RNA
Source: RNAcentral
AGUUUAGCAGCCCUUAUUCCUCUGGUACCGUCAUUUGUUCUUCCCAGAGAAAAGGCACUUUACACCCCAAGGGGCGUCAUCAUGCACGCGGCGUCGCUCCUUCAGCCUUUCGGCCAUUGAGGAAGAUUCUUGA